This 357-nucleotide long non-coding RNA is filed under the name Manihot esculenta (cassava). RNAcentral describes it as "long non-coding RNA (MESC_LNC012635)". The record is from RNAcentral. Lineage: Eukaryota; Viridiplantae; Streptophyta; Magnoliopsida; Malpighiales; Euphorbiaceae.
UACGUUUGGGUAGCUAGAAUUGGAUCUCUCUAUUUCUUAAUGCAAUUGACAAUUGUUUUGAUGCCUAAGGCCCAAGGACGUUCCUUGGCAAUUUGUUAAUUAGUAAUUAAUUAGAGGACGUUCCCUAAUUAGUUUAAUCAUAAGGAGAGAUAAUGGUGGUGAGAAGCGUCUUCCAUCCCCAUAACUAAUCUAUUGAAUCAACCCAAAAGAACAAAGUGUCUGUGAUCAAUUCCAAUGACUAAAGUGGAUCCAAUACUUCAACUAGAGCUUUCUUAUUAUUUAUUUCUCUUUUAUUUUAUUAUUCGCUUAUUUUAAUUGCUUUUAGUAGUUUAUUAAUCAAAUCAAUCUCAAACCCCC